RNAcentral lists this ribosomal RNA (854 nucleotides) under uncultured bacterium. RNAcentral describes it as "bacterial SSU rRNA". It matches the Rfam family "Bacterial small subunit ribosomal RNA", at positions 54 to 873 of the family's 1533-position model. The record is from RNAcentral.
GAUGCCAAAGUCGRAACGGUAACAGGUCUAGCUUGCUAGAUGCUGACGAGUGGCGGACGGGUGAGUAACGCGUAGGAAUCUACCUUGUAGUGGGGGAUAACUUGGGGAAACCCAAGCUAAUACCGCAUGAGCCCUAAGGGGGAAAGCAGGGGACCGAAAGGCCCUGUGCUAUGAGAUGAGCCUGCGUCGGAUUAGCUAGUUGGUGGGGUAAAGGCCUACCAAGGCGAGGAUCCGUAGCUGGUCUGAGAGGACGACCAGCCACACUGGGACUGAGACACGGCCCAGACUCCUACGGGAGGCAGCAGUGGGGAAUAUUGGACAAUGGGCGCAAGCCUGAUCCAGCAAUGCCGCGUGUGUGAAGAAGGCCUGCGGGUUGUAAAGCACUUUCAGUGGGGAGGAAGGUCUCAAUGCUAAUAGUAUUGAGAAUUGACGUUACCUACAGAAGAAGCACCGGCUAACUACGUGCCAGCAGCCGCGGUAAUACGUAGGGGGCAAGCGUUGUCCGGAAUCAUUGGGCGUAAAGAGCUCGUAGGCGGUUCAGUAAGUCGGGUGUGAAAGCUCCGAGCUCAACUCGGAGAGGCCACUCGAUACUGCUGUGACUAGAAUCCAGUAGGGGAGUGUGGAACUCCUGGUGUAGCGGUGAAAUGCGCAGAUAUCAGGAAGAACACCAKCGGCGAAGGCGGCACUCUGGGCUGGUAUUGACGCUGAGGAGCGAAAGUGUGGGUAGCAAACAGGAUUAGAUACCCUGGUAGUUCCACACCGUAAACGUUGGGCACUAGGUGUGGGGGAGGGAUCAAMCCCUUUUCCGUGGCCGUASSCUAAACGCMAUUAAGUGCCCCCGCCCUGGGGGAGUU